RNAcentral lists this unclassified non-coding RNA (723 nucleotides) under Hevea brasiliensis (rubber tree). The record is from RNAcentral. Lineage: Eukaryota; Viridiplantae; Streptophyta; Magnoliopsida; Malpighiales; Euphorbiaceae.
CACCUUCGCAGAUUCUCCACAAUGUAGGAAGCAUAGAGAUCCAUAGAGUGUUGAACAGCUUCAUAAGCAUCAGUGGCAGGCAGGAAAUCAUUCACCGCAACUUCCUUGUUUUCAUUCUUCUUAUAAUCUUCAAAGAAACGUCUGAUUUCAGCUAAACGAUGUGGCGGAAGCUCCUUGAUAUCAGUGAAGUGUCUAUAUUCAGGAUCGUCAGCACAAACAGCAAUAAUUUUAUCGUCUUUCUCCCCCUGAUCAAUCAUAGGCAUGAGGCCAAUGGCUUUAGCCCGAAGGAAACUUCCUGGGAGAAUAGGCUCCUGCAUGAUAACCAACACAUCGAGAGGAUCAUUAUCUUCACACAGAGUACGUGGGAUAAAACCAUAGUUGUGGGGAUACACAACCGAUGAGUAGAGAACACGGUCCACCUUUAUCAUCCCAGUUUUUUUAUCGAGUUCAUAUUUCACCUUACUCCCCUUUCCUAUCUCAACCACACAGUUGAAUAUUUGGGGAGCGGCUGGUCCUAUCUCAAGGUCAUGCCAGGGGUGUGCUGCAACAGAUCUGCUGGACAUGGAAGAUAGUAUCCUUUCAUUCAAAACUGGAUGCCCCUUGUGCGACUCAGUUGCAUUUUUUGAAGGUUCAAUAUUAGGAGGCGUGAUUGUAAGUCGAUCCACGGGCGCUGGGAGAGCUGAAUCCGACAUGAUGAUGGGAAGUGAAGGAAUGUGAGCUGAC